Bufo bufo (common toad) is the source of this 578-nucleotide long non-coding RNA. RefSeq lists it as uncharacterized. The record is from RefSeq and is a predicted model, not a curated record. The transcript is spliced from 4 exons. Lineage: Eukaryota; Metazoa; Chordata; Amphibia; Anura; Bufonidae.
ACCAACUGUAGUCUUGAUAGUCCACAUGUAAUAGACUGCAAUAAUGGACAAUGUCUGGUCUCAAACAAGGGUCCCAGCUGCUACUGUGCAUCAUCAAGCCAGUUCUGGUACACUGGUGACCAGUGCCAGGUAGCAGUCAGUAAGCCUGGUAUUUAUGGCAGUGUGGCUUCCAUUCUUACUUUUCUUCUGAUAAUCAUUUUCUUGCUGGCUUCCUCUUUAUACCGGCGGCAACAUAACAAGGACAAUCGAAAUUUAAUUGAUCCAGAAAGAAACUAUCAGGAGGAUGACUGGGAUUUUACUGCUCAAAAUACUGUCAUUGUCAAUGCCAGUUGUCUCUUGGAGACAUCAUCUGAAAGUGAUGCAGCAUCAAUAACUCUUCCAACUUUGGGGUCUCCAUUCGGAUCUCAGAGUUCUAGACCCGGCAAACAAAACUGUCCUUAGAAAAUGCUAAUUUUUACAAGAUGAGCAGACCCAGAUCCAACCUCAUCAACAAAUCUUUACAGUGAGUCACCAACAUCUCUGUGUACAAAGACUAUACAACAAGUGGUGCAUAACGUUCUGUCAACUCUGUAGCAAAG